UACGCAGGGGGUUAGCGUUGCUCGGAAUCACUGGGCGUAAAGCGCACGUAGGCGGAUUGUUAAGUCAGGGGUGAAAUCCUGGAGCUCAACUCCAGAACUGCCUUUGAUACUGGCGAUCUUGAGUCCGGGAGAGGUGAGUGGAAGUGCGAGUGUAGAGGUGAAAUUCGUAGAUAUUCGCAAGAACACCAGUGGCGCAGGCGGCUCACUGGACCGGUACUGACGCUGAGGUGCGAAAGCGUGGGGAGCAAACAGG
This 253-nucleotide ribosomal RNA is filed under the name uncultured bacterium. RNAcentral's name for it is "partial 16S ribosomal RNA". It matches the Rfam family "Bacterial small subunit ribosomal RNA", at positions 524 to 776 of the family's 1533-position model. The record is from RNAcentral.